UUUGUUACCUGGCAGGGGGCGAUUCCAUGAUCAGGGAAGGUGGAUUCCCAAGGGUGAGGCUCACCCAUUGCACUCCGGGCGUACUGACCCCCUGUGAUUUCCCCAAAUGUGGGAAACUCAACUGCAUAAUUUUAUGGUAGUGGGGGGACUGCAUGCAUGCCUUCACCCC
Small nuclear RNA from Suncus etruscus (white-toothed pygmy shrew), 169 nucleotides. RefSeq annotates it as U1 spliceosomal RNA. The record is from RefSeq and is a predicted model, not a curated record. Lineage: Eukaryota; Metazoa; Chordata; Mammalia; Eulipotyphla; Soricidae. The transcript has a single exon.